Chelonoidis abingdonii (Abingdon island giant tortoise) is the source of this 2073-nucleotide long non-coding RNA. RefSeq lists it as uncharacterized. The record is from RefSeq and is a predicted model, not a curated record. Lineage: Eukaryota; Metazoa; Chordata; Testudines; Testudinidae.
GUGGGUUAAUUAUUAUUGUUAAUGAUUAAUUUUCUUUGCACUUUUAAGAAACCUAAAACUACUGUAAACCUGCAAAUCUUCCCAUCGUAAAUAAGAUCUGGGCCACUGAUGCCACAGAAUCCUGUAACAUGGUUGAUAAGGGCAAGUGCUAAAGACUGAAGCCAUAGAACUGCAAAGUGUCGCAUGCAGUUGUUGCAAAUGCAGCACAGCUUGCAUUUUUGACAUGAAAAGACAUGUCAGCCAGGUAGGAAAGAAAACAACCAAACCCACACCUCUGCCUCCACAUGAGCUUCUUCAACACGUGGAGCUGCACACUUGCCAAUCAGCCACAGAUCCUUAUCAGCUCUCUGAUGUCCUCAUUGUCGUCUUCCCUCUACAGCCUCCUUUCAAAUCAUUGUACAACCUCUAGAGCGGCAGUAUAAAAACACCACCACGCUGAACUACUCCACUAGCUGCAAAGCAACAAUGAACCAGACCCUAGGUCUUGCCUUACCAUGCCAGCCCUAAUGGCUAUAAAACGUCCCCUCCAGCUGUGCUCUGUGAUACACGGUACAGCAAACCCAGGGAGCAUCCUUACCUGGAUAGAGUUCGGCUGCAGCAGCUGCUGCAACAAAGAGGAAGCGUGUUUUCUGUUUGACGGCUAAGCUCCGAGUUACAACCACUCUCACGAUGCCUGGCUGUGUGGUUACUCAUGGUCUUCUCUUCACAAAUCAGGCACCAGGACUCCAGCACAACAGGAUGGAUGUAAUUCCUGCACAGCUUAAUAUUCCUCCUCUCCAGCUCUUGGUUUUAUCAUUUAUAUCCCCCUGUGGAGCAGCUGUGAGAAGAUCCCAACUGGAUUCCAAGCAGCAGUCUACUGUGGAAUGAGAGGUGCUGCGUUAGACUUACAAGAACGUGCUUUCAAAACUAUCUGUUUUCUUCCUGCUUGUGGAUUCACCAUCAGGCAAAAACUUUGCCACUGGAUUUGCCUCUGGGCACUGGGUGCAAGAAACUUCCUCCAUCUGGAUUCACCACUAGGGAUAAGGUGUGCGACAGCUGUUGAGAAAUAUUGUAUCUCCAGAAUCAGGGGUGCACAGGGGAUGCUGCCAUGUCAGGCAUGGAAAUUGGCAGGGGAAAGGAUUAAACAAGGAAGCCGUCUAUUGACAUCAUCAGAGAGGAGUCGGUGCACUUCCAGAGUAGAUGCAGCUACACUGGUAGGGGUGAACGUACCAAUGCAACAUGCUUGGUAAGCACAGAUUUCAUGUGCAGGUGCCCGGGCUUGGGUACUCUGUGCUGUGUAGAUGUGACCAAAGAUAUAACUGUCGAAGCUACCAGAAGCUUGGCACAAGACACAUUAAACAGGGAAACGGGCAGCACAGCUUGAAUGAGAUGUCUUAGUACUGCAGCAGUAAACCAGUGAGAUGAGCAAGGGAGAUUGGUUUGAAAAAGCCUGCUCUGGCAAGGAAUCUGGUAUCACGGGUUUAGUGGGAUAACCUCGCAUGGAAGGGGUUAAACAUGCAGCUGAGCGCCCAAACUUUGUUUGCACAUGAACGGGUGACAGAUUUCACACCAAUGGUUUGCAUGUUUAGUGCUGGCCCAGCACUUUCUCGGUAUUGUCUUUGCCCCCAAGGUCCGGGAAGAGCCUUUCUGCUCUGAGGGUACCCUGACCUCUUUACUCACCUGCCCUGAUUGCAAGGGAAACACCCUCUUUUCUUUUCUUUUUCUGGCCGCAAGUUCUGCUCUGCUCAGCAGAUUUAUUGCUGCCAUCUAGUGGUGCUACAAGAACAAGGCCUGCUCGUGACUGCUCCCCCUGCCCCCCAAACACAGUGCGGGGCUGUGAAAAAUGUAUUCCCUCUGUAGAUCUCCGCUUCUUGGUGAAUGAAAUGGCCUGUUGUGUCUGGAGGCUGCAGCCCUCAUUUCCCACCUGGUAAAUUAGCCCCCCUGACUUUCAGUGUCUAAAUUAUCUUCACAGAUACCUGUAAGAAACUGGAGAAGCCAUGGAUUUUAUCUGAACAUGAUACUGCUAUCUGUGUCAGUCAGUGGGGUAGGUAGCUACAGGGAGAUUUUGGAAACGGGGGCAUUUUUUUGUUGUCG